Molecule: ribosomal RNA, 433 nt
Filed under: uncultured bacterium
Lineage: Bacteria
Description: partial 16S ribosomal RNA
Rfam family: Bacterial small subunit ribosomal RNA
Source: RNAcentral
AACGAACGCUGGCGGCAUGCCUAACACAUGCAAGUCGAACGAGACCUUCGGGUCUAGUGGCGCACGGGUGCGUAACGCGUGGGAACCUGCCCUUAGGUUCGGAAUAACUCCCCGAAAGGGGUGCUAAUACCGGAUAAUGUCUUCGGACCAAAGAUUUAUCGCCUUUGGAUGGGCCCGCGUUGGAUUAGCUAGUUGGUAAGGUAAAAGCCUACCAAGGCGACGAUCCAUAGCCGGUCUGAGAGGAUGAUCAGCCACACUGGGACUGAGACACGGCCCAGACUCCUACGGGAGGCAGCAGUGGGGAAUAUUGGACAAUGGGCGAAAGCCUGAUCCAGCAAUGCCGCGUGAGUGAUGAAGGCCUUAGGGUUGUAAAGCUCUUUUACCCGGGAUGAUAAUGACAGUACCGGGAGAAUAAGCUCCGGCUAACUCCGUG